Molecule: ribosomal RNA, 791 nt
Filed under: uncultured archaeon
Lineage: Archaea
Description: bacterial SSU rRNA
Rfam family: Archaeal small subunit ribosomal RNA
Source: RNAcentral
ACUGCUCAGUAACACGUGGAUAACAUGCCCUAAGGUGGGGGAUAAUCUCGGGAAACUGAGGAUAAUACCCCAUAGGUCUGAUCUGCUGGAAUGCUUUCAGGCCGAAAACUCCGGUGCCUUAGGAUUGGUCUGCGGUCUAUCAGGCUGUAGUGGGUGUAAUGGACCCACUAGCCCGUGACGGAUAUGGGCCUUGAGAGAGGGAGCCCAGAGAUGGACUCUGAGACAUGAGUCCAGGCCCUACGGGGCGCAGCAGUCGCGAAAACUUCGCAAUGGGGGCAACCCCGACGAGGGAAUUCCAAGUGCCAGCACUUUGUGUUGGCUGUUCUCCUGUCUAAAAAACAGGAGGAGUAAGGGGCGGGUAAGACGGGUGCCAGCCGCCGCGGUAAUACCCGCGCCCCUAGUGGUGGUCGAUAUUAUUGAGCCUAAAACGUCCGUAGCCGGUCUUCUAAAUCCUUGGGUAAAUCGGGCAGCUUAACUGUCCGAAGUCCGGGGAGACUGGGAGACUUGGGACCGGGAGAGGUCAGAGGUACUUCUGGGGUAGGGGUAAAAUCCUGUAAUCCUGGAAGGACCACCGGUGGCGAAGGCGUCUGACUAGAACGGAUCCGACGGUGAGGGACGAAGCCCUGGGGCGCAAACGGGGUUAGAUACCCCGGUAGUCCAGGGUGUAAACGCUGCGGGCUUGGUGUUGGGGGUCCUUAGUGGGCGCCCAGUGCCGGAGAGAAGUUGUUAAGCCUGCUGCUUGGGGAGUAUGUCCGCAAGGAUGAAACUUAAAGGAAUUGGCGGGGGAGCAC